RNAcentral lists this small nuclear RNA (295 nucleotides) under Propithecus coquereli (Coquerel's sifaka). RNAcentral describes it as "7SK RNA (ENSPCOG00000000909.1)". It matches the Rfam family "7SK RNA". Rfam says of the family: 7SK was discovered as an abundant small nuclear RNA in the mid-70s but a possible function has only recently been suggested. Two independent studies have found that 7SK RNA binds the CDK9/cyclin T complex (known as elongation factor P-TEFb). The record is from Rfam by way of RNAcentral. Lineage: Eukaryota; Metazoa; Chordata; Mammalia; Primates; Indriidae.
GGGUGUGAGGGUGAUCCGGCUGCAACGUCACUCCUCCAUUGAUUGUCAGGGUUGAGUCAGCUGAUCUGGCUGGCUACAGGUAGGUGUCCCCUUCCUCCCUCACUGCUCCAAGUGCAUCCCUCCUGAAGCUGUGCCCUCGUUUGAAGAGGAUGACCUUCCCCAAUAGAGGAGGACUAUUCUUCAGUGAAGAGCAUAGGAGUACAUAGUCUAAAAUAAAUAUAAAUACAUAGUCUAAAAUAAAUAUAAACAGCAAGUAAUAAGUCAUUAGCAAAAAACAAAGUGAGAAAUUCACAUU